This 2744-nucleotide long non-coding RNA is filed under the name Marmota monax (woodchuck). The record is from RNAcentral. Lineage: Eukaryota; Metazoa; Chordata; Mammalia; Rodentia; Sciuridae.
GGUCAUGGACAUCAGGAGAAUCCCAAGGCCAUGCCUGUGUGCCAGCAAGGAGAGUCUAAGAUGCAAGGGAGCGCUGUGGCCAUGGUGGGCUGCCAGGGAAGGAGGCGGCACAGUCACCCAGACCUCAGUUGCAAGGACAUAUCAUGAAGGCAGGGACCUGGGGAUCAAACUGAGCCUCAGGCUCAGUGUAGAGGAGAGUAAAGGCUAGCGGGUGCCCCGGGGUCCCAUGGGUCCACUUCUCCCUGCUGGACCUCAUCCCUCCUCUUCACACCCACCUAGACACUGUUGGGAGUACCCAGGAAGGGUACCCAUGCCUGGCAUCUGCAGACUCCCAGAUGCCCUUGCCACUUCACCCCACCCAUCGUGGGGCAGUGGGGAGGCCAGUCUGUGGUGGACAUACCCCAGUGAGCUUCCUGCAGGCGCCUGCGGCAGCCCGAACACAAGAUCCUGGAGCAGCUGAGGAAUCGCAGGGACAAUGUGUAUGUGGUGACGGAGGUGCUACAGACCCAGGAAGAGGUGAAGGUCACCCAAACCCGCAAGAAGGAGGGCUCGGGCCAGUUUGCACUGCCUGGAAACAUGUGCCUUCAGGUGUGUGGCCGGCCCUCAGCCCAUCUUGGCCUGACAUGAACGCAGGGUGGCAGCAGGCGAGGUUUUGCCAAGAGCCCUGCAGGAGCAGUUCACAGCCCCACGCUUGACCCAGGGCUCCCCAAAGCCUGGGUUGGCUGACACCAGUAGCAAGCUUGUUACUAGCACCCAGCCCACACCACACCCCACGUCCCCACACCUAGGGCCCAGUCCUGCUAUGUCUAUUCGUCCCUCAGGGUGAGAGCCAGGGCCACCUGAGCCGGAAGAAUACGGUCACCGUCCCUGCAGGCAGCACCCUUGCAUUUCGAGUGGCCCAACUCAUCAUUGGCUCUGACUGGGGUCAGUAGAGCUGGGGAUGUCUCUGGGGCCCAGACGCCAUGGAGAGGUGGAAGGCCUUGGGAGGGCCACCAGCUGCCUAGGGGCUGCUGCAGGCAUCUGCUGCUCAACCUCCCAGGGCUCUGGUGUGUGGAAGACUGAGGCAAGGCCUCACCUGGGGAGGGGGCCUGUGCAGGAGGGGAUCCUGGUGACCUCCUUCCCCUCUCUGCUCCCACCCAUCGCCAGACAUACUCUUCUUCCCGGAUGAGAAGCAGAGGACCUUCCCACGGUCCCCCAAAGGUGAGCCCUGCCUGUCCAAAGGGAGAACCCUUCCUUUGCUAUUAAGGCCUUCUCCUGUGUUCAGGACCCGUGGUGCUGGACAGCCUCCCCAAAGGACAGGCUCCUCGUUUGCACACACAGGGGUCACAUCCAGGUGUCACGGCCCUCUGUGGUCUCACACCUGCUCUGGGCUGCCAGCGUUGGGGAUGGGGCCAGGGAGGAAGGCCUCAGCCCUCUUCGGCUCAGGGACCUACUCUGGCACUAAGCCAUGCUGUCCUCCCUCCCCUGUCCUCACACCUCUGCCCAGGCCACAAACCUCCCCGAGGGGCAGGCAGCUCACUGAAGCAAGCCUUCAGACUCUCCUCCAUGUUAGAGUCCAUCCACGACCGCCUCAAGUUCCUGUCAGGUUUGUGAACUUUUGAUACCUCUUGGACCCCUGUGGGCUCUCCUUCUGCUCCUGGGGUGUGCCCUUCCUGUCCAGGGCUCUCCAGGGCUCUCUGUCCCCAUAGAUGGGCCACUUGAAGAGCUGGUUGUCACUGAAGACUUCCAGGGCCUGCAGGCAGAGGUGCAGGCUGGCUCUGAGGAACUGGAGCACAUGGAAAAGAACCUGAGACAGCAGCUGCUGGGGGCCCUGGGGAGGAUCCUCAAGGACCCGCUGGCCCUGCAAGCUUUAGAGUCCUCAGUAAGUGGGGCUGUGUGGGGGUGGAAGGGUCUGCCCAGCCAGCUCAGGCUCAUGCACCCUGUCUGUGCCCCAGCUGGAGCAGGGCCUAUGCUAUGGCGGGCAAGUGGAGCAGCUGGAUGGCCCGGCAGGUGCUGUCCUCGAGUGCCUGGUGCUCCCCUCCAGGACGCCUGUGCCAGAACUUGCCGCCCCUGUCUUCUACUUGUUGGGGGCGCUGACGGGUGAGUGACCUCUGGGGAGUAGAUGUGGGACAGAGGGAAGGACUAGGUUCCCCACUAGGCCUCCCUGAGCCCCCUCUCAGACCAUGUCUCUCCCCAGUGCUGAGUGAAACGCAGCGUGAGCUGCUGGCUGACUUGCUGGAGACAGGGACCCUGUUGGAGCAGCUCAAGCUGGUGAGAGGGCACAGCAUGGGGGCUGGAAUGGGCCCUGGGACACCUGUAAGGGCAGAGCAUGCCCAGGGACUCAGGACUAGCUCUUCCACCCAUAACCUCCUACCCUCCUGCAGGUGGAGCACCUCUUGCAGCAGAGCACCCCAUGGCAGGAGCAGAAGGCUGUGUCCUUGCCCCCUGGGCUCCUUGGGAGUAGCUGGGGCAAGGAGGCCCCAGGGUGGACCCUGCUGGAGGAAUGUGGCCUGGUGCUGCAGGUGGGCGCCCCCCAUGUGUGCUGGGAACCUCAGGCCCAGGGCCCCACGUGUGCGCUCUAUGCCUCCCUGACCCUGCUGUCAGGGCUACAUGAGGAGCCCCGUUAACCUGCACGCUGGGCAGCUCUCCAGCCAGGCACCCCCCUGCCAGCCCUAGGAAGGCUGAAAGCCCAUUUAACUACAGGGCCAGCUCACUCAGAGGCCCAGGAGUUGGGAAAACUCAAUAAAUAUGAUGUACAAAGGAAA